Molecule: long non-coding RNA, 6061 nt
Organism: Myotis daubentonii (Daubenton's bat)
Lineage: Eukaryota; Metazoa; Chordata; Mammalia; Chiroptera; Vespertilionidae
Source: RefSeq, a predicted model, not a curated record
CCUGUAGAGACAAAAGACACAGAAAGGAGAAGGGGUCCAGACACAGGUGGAGCCCUUUAGGAGGGGCUGGGCUGGUAUGCCUUCGCCCUGGCUUUACCCUCUGUCUGACAUGCCUUUUCUUCCUUUUUCUUUCAUUCAGAGUCCUGUAGUCAGUUUCAUCCCAGCUACCCCUACUGGGAAGGCAUAUCUUGCCCCACUAGGUAAGGUACCAAAGAAAUUAAGGUCCUCAUUCCCCUAAUCCAAAGAUGUUCAUUAAUGGGAACUGUUAUAAUCUAUAUUGGUUAUAAUCUGUAUUGAGCCAAACCAAGAUUCUCAUCUUUGUGGAGCUUACAUUGUAGCAGGGGAGACAGACUUCAAACAAUAAUCAUCCUAUAUAAUAAAAGGCUAAUAUGCAAAUAGACCGAAUGGCGGAAUGACCAGGAGCUAUGAUGUGUACUGCCCACCAAGGGGCAGAUGCUCAAUGCAGGAACUGCCCCCUGGUUGUCAGUGCAGUCCCACAGGGGGAGCCACUCAGCCAGAAGCCAGGAUGUCUGACUGCCGGCUUAGGCCUGCUCCUGUGGGGCCUAGGCCAUCAGUUGGAGAUCCCCCGAGGGCUCUGGGACUGCGAUAGGGCGUAGGCUGGGCUGAGGGACACCUCCCCCCCCCAGUGCACAAAUUUCAUGCACCGGGCCUCUAGUAAUGUAUAAAGUUAUCUAGCAUAGCCCUAGCUGGUUUGGCUCAGUGGAUAGGGUGUCAGCCUAUGUUCUGAAGGGUCCUGUGUUUGAUUCCAGUCAAGGGCACAUGCCUGGGUUGUGGGCUUGAUCCCCAGUAGGGGGUGUGCAGGAGGCAGCUGAUCAAUGAUUCUCUCUCAUCAUUGAUGUUUCUAGCUCUCUCUCCCUUCCUUUUUGAAAUCAAUAAAAAUAUAUUUAAAAAUAAAAUAAAGUUAUCUAGUAUAACAUAAAGUGAUAAUAAGUGAAAUAGAAGAACAAAAAAUAGACCAGGCUGAGGGGUUAGGAGUUCCAGUAAGGGAAGGAAGGUUGCUGUAGUAAGUAGGGUAGUCAGAGAAGUAACAUUGGAAUAAGAAAUUAAGGAGGUGAAGGAAUGAACCAUGCAGAUAACUAGGGGGUGAGAGAGCAUUCCAAGCAGGGGGUACAGGGAGUGCAAAGGUCCUUGGGUGGGGCCACAUUUAGUGUUUUUGAGGUACAGCAAGGAAGUCAAUGGGGCUUGAGUGGAAUGAGCAAGGGAGAGUGGUGGGAGGUGAUGUCAGGGAGGUAGGUAAUGGGGUCUCAUAGGACUAGGUUGUGAGGACAUCAGCUUUAACUCUGGAUGAGGUGUAAGCCAUGGGAAGAUUCUGAGCAGAGAAGAAUAAAAAGACAUGCUAUGUUGUUGCUAUUUUCUCAAUAAAUGUUUCUUAACAUUAGUAGUGCUGUAAGUGGUAUGUGCACAGCAUGAAUAUGUCUUGGUUACAUUCCAUAGUCUAGCGGAAGAGACAGCCAAUAAAUGUAUAAACUAAACCCUGGCUGGGGAGCUCAGUUAGUUAGAAUGUCAUCCUGAUAUGCCAAGGUUUCAGGUUUGAUCCCAGGUCAGGGCAUAUACAAGAAUCAACCAAUGAAUGCAUAAAUGAGUGGAACAACAAAUUGACCUCUCUCUCUCUCUCUCUCUCUCUCUCAAAUUAAUAAAAUAUAUAUAAACUAAUAAUUACAAACUGUGGUAAAGAAAAGCACAGGGUACUAUGAGAGAGGUAAGAAAUGGGACUUGUAAGGACCUGGCCAGGUGAGGUUAUCAGCGUGUGUGGUUGUAAAACUCCAAUAGGAAAGCAAGUACCAAGGUAAGGCCCUGAAGUUGGAUUGUGCCUGGAACAUCGAGGUGACCACUGUGGCUGGAACAGUGUGUGUGUGUGGGGGGGGGGGAGGGUAAGAGGUGAGAGGUCAGAGAAAUGAGGGGAGGGGCUUGUGUAAGGCCCUGUGAAGCCUUUGACUUUCAAUCUGAGUCAGAUUGGAACCCUGGCAGAGCUCUGAGCACAGGAGGAAGGUGGCCUGACUUUUUAAAAAGUAUUUUUAUUGAUUUCAGAGAGGAAGGGAGAGGGAGAGAGAGAAAUAUCUCUAUGAUGAGAGAGAAUCAUUGAUUGGCUGCCUCCUGUAUGCCCCCCACCGGGGAUCAAGCCUGUAACUAGGGCGUGUGCCCUUGACCAGAAUCGAACCUGGGACCCUUCAGUCUACAGGCUGAUGCUCUAUCCACUGAGUGAAACCAGCUAGGGCUUAACUUAAGCUUUAAUGGGGUCUCUCUCAAUGCUGUGAAUAGAACAGAAUGGGAAUGGGGGUGGAAAUGUAAGAUGUCUGGGGGAGAUGACAGUGAGUAGUGGGAAGACUGUAGAUUAUAUUUGAAGGUAGAGCCAACAGGAUUUUUUUUUUUUUUUGACAAAUUAGAUGUGAGAUGCGUAAGAAACUGCUCCCUGCCCUUUCCAUUCUGGUCAAGUGCCAAAAGCUACCUCCAUCCACGUGUUGCCACCUCCUUGCCUUUUCCCUCUCAUGACAUCCACCCUGCCUCUUCUCCCCUUCUUCCUCCCCCUCAUGUACGAGGAAAAUCUCACUUUUCUUUUCCAGGUCGGGCAAGCCUUUCCAAUAACCCCACUCCAUCCCUUUUUUCCUUUUUUGAAAUUCCAAACCACCUCCCCCACCUGAAGAGUUGGGGAGAGGUGGCAGAUGAAUCACCUCCUCCCGGAUUGGUGAGCUUGUUUGAUCGUCAUGAUUCAAGCCAGUCUACUCUCACCAUCUAUUGGCCUUAUCAUAAUAUAUUGGCUUACCAAUCAUUUCUAAGACCAUUUCCUUUUCUCUGAAAGGCUCCGCUGCUCCGCUAAUUCUCCACAACGCUAAUCCCUCUGCUAUUCCCUCCUUUCAUUGGUUGCUCUGCCUGUUUCUCUGUCCCCUUCCUUCCCUCGGAGCUGCACUUCUACCUCUCCCAUUGGCUCUUAACUCUUCCCAUCUUCAAGCAUCACUCUCCUCCUUUCCAUUCAUUGGAUAGGUUUUCGCUCUUGUACCGGUAGCUAGCUGUACCUCUGUAUUGGUUCCUUCAAACUCCCACCCUCACUGGUCUGGCCUGCGUUCACGUAACAUUUACUAUGGACUCUUAUUGGUUCACUGACCCGCCCAUCUCAUUGCAGGUACCCUCCUUGGCCGCACCGCCCGCCCGUCACUCACCAGACUACAUCUGAUUGGAGAAGGAGGUGGGCGCACCCUGAGGGCCAUAGCCUUGCUGCCCGUAGUCGCCCUGAGGCCCAUAGCCACCAACGGUGCCCGCAGCGGGCUGCCCGUAAUCGGGCUGGUAGCCGCCCUGAGGCCCGUAGGAAUCCUGGGGCCCGUACCCGCCAGGGCCCUGCCCAUAGCCCGCCUCGCCGUAGGCGUCCCCAGGCGCUGGUUGCUUCUCAGGGGCACCAGGAGGUGCGCGUAGGAAUGGGGCGGACCAGCCUGUCUCCUUGAACACAAACCACAGGUUGCCGAACCAGAGCACCAGGUUCAGGAAGCCGAACACCUGCGGAGAGAUAAAGCCAGGCUGUCGUCCCACUCCCGUUGCCUUGGCGGCCCCAGGUAACUUCGAGGCAGUGCGCUUCAGGCAUGGAUCCUCGGGCUUCUGAAGGGUGGUGGUUUCAGAAACCCAGACCACCGAGUCCCAGCUCAUGAACGUCAGUGUGCAGAAAAACCACUUUGGGGGGUGGGGAAGUAGGGCGUGUUAGAAUUCAGAUUCCUGGGCCCGGCCAGCAUGGCUCAGUGGUUGGGCAUCGACCUAUGAACCAGGAGGUCAUGGUUCAAUUCCCAGUCAGGGCACAUGCCCGGGUUGUGGGCUCAAUCCCCAGUACAGGGUGUGCAGGAGGCAACUGAUUAAUGAUUCUCUCUCAUUGAUGUUUCUCUCCCUCUCCCUCCCCCUAUCUGCAAUCAAUAAAAACAUAUUUAAAAAAGAAUUCAGAUUCCUGGGAUGUUGGGAUCUAGUAAUAUUGCAUACAUUUGUUUAUAUAUUUGCACAUUUACCUGUUACACAUGCACAUUUAUCUAUAAUAAUAAAAGCGUAAUAUGCUAAUUGGACCUGAAGACCUUCCGGUGGAAGCCUGGGCUGUGACGGAAGCCCGGUCAGAGUGCCAGAGGGAAGCCAGGUGCUGGCAGCUGGGGGAAGGAAGGCCUACACUUGUAUGAAUUCCGUGCAUUGGGCCUCUAGUAUUUGUAUAAACUAUAGUAAAAUCUAAAUUUGUGAUAUAGUAAAAUAUUAAGCAUAAACUUUUUUUCUUUAUUUUUUAAAAAUAUAUUUUUAUUGAUUUCAGAGAGGGAGAAAGAUAGAAACAUCAAUGAUGAGAGAGAAUCAUUGAUUGGCUGCCUCCUGCAAGCCCCCCACUGGGGAUUGAGCCCACAACCCAAGCAUGUGCCCUUGACUGGAAUCGAACUGGGAACCCUUCAGUCCGCAGGCCAAUGCUCUAUCCACUGAGCCAAACCAGAUAGGGCUAAGCAUAUACUUUGAUUAAAUAUAUAAAUGUACCACUAAUAGAUGGGGAAGUGCGCAUAUAUAUAUAUAUAUACACAAAUAUAUGUAUAACUGCACAUCUAUAAAGUAUAUAAGCAUACUUUUAUAUUAAAACAAAUACAUGUUGCCCAGCCGGUAUGACUCAGUGGUUGAGCAUGAACCUAUGGACCAGGAGGUCAUGGUUGGAUUCCUCGUCAGGGCACAUGCUCAGGUUGCCAGGCUCAACCCCUAGUGAGGGACGUGUAGGAGGCAGCUAAUCAAUGAUUCUCUCUCAUCAUUGAUGUUUCUAUCUCUCUCCCUCUGCCUUCCUCUCUGAAAUCAAUACAAAUAUAUUUUUAAAAAAGAAAAAAGGCUCCAGAGGGUACUGAGUUGCUGGAGAUUUUACAUGAUGAGGCUGGGGCUGAGAUCCAAGUCUCCCAAACUUAAUUGUACAGAAGAUCUCAUGUUCCCCUCUUGAGGACAGUUUGUGGUGUCACAGUAGUUACAAUUGCUAUCUAAUCCUUCAAGGCUCUGUUGUUGGUAUGCCUUCUCUGGAUAUCUGAACUCUCUUAUUCUCUCUCUCCACCACAUCCCAUGCCAGACUAUAAGUGACCUAACCUCCCUCCCCAGCCAGCUUGGCCAGCUUCCCAGGGCUCACCACAGAGGUGUUGAGGCCAGAGGUCACAGGGUCUCUUAUCUCCUUGCAUGUAUUCUCCUUCUGGUGGCAGCUAGGUAUCCCCUUGAUAAUGGUCUCUGGGUCUGUGGCCAUCUUCACGUCCGACAGCCCCUUGGCCCAUGCCGAUGAGCAAACCAGCCACAUGAAGGCAAACACUGCCGUGGCCAGGAAGUCCUAGGAUGGGCAGGGGAGAGGAAGAUGACACUUGUGAGUGGGCUGCUUCAUACUGGGUUGUGGGACCACCUCAGAUCACAGGUUUUCUUGGGAGAGGGGAGUCCCUCAGAAGAGGUCUGUCUCUCCUCUACCCUUUCCCCAGCACUCGCUUGAAGGUGGCCCUCCUGGCUUGGGCUUGUGGGUGACACAGAGGAUGUGAGAGUGUGAUUGUUGAUAUGUGUGUGUGGGUGUGGGGGAAUUCUGGGGGAUGGUUGUCGAAUCUGUGAAAAGUACUGUGUCUUUCCACUUUCGUCUGAAUGUGGGAAUAUGUGUCAUUAUGUGUCUGGGAUGAGGGUAUAUGAGUACAGCUGUGUAGGAAUCAGUGUGUCUGUGUGGCAUGACAAGCACGACUAUCACAGUGAACCUCUGUGUGCUCCUUCCUUUGAUCUAGACUGUGUGGUUGUGUGAGAGGUAGCAGGUUUCAGGUGUAGGCCUGUCUGGGAUUCUGUGUGGGCUGUGAGUGUGUCUCUGUCACUAUGAUUUAGUGUUCAGCACCAGCAGCAGUCGCAUGUGUGGCUGUUAUGAUGGCUGCUUGCAUGUGGGCCUGUCUGGGAUUUGGUGUGACCCGUGAACAUGACUGGUUCCCCUGGAUCCUGCAUACAAGUGGAUGUGGGGGCUCACCAGCACUGGUCCUUUGUUGUUUUCUCGGUACUUGUUCUGCAUAAAGAUGUAGGUGGCCAGAGCCCCCAUUGAGUAGAGGAAGGCAAA